GAUGAACGCUGGCGGUAUGCUUAACACAUGCAAGUCGAACGGACUCUUCGGAGUUCGUGGCGGACUGGUGAGUAACGCGUGAGAAUCUGGCUUUGGGUUCGGGACAACCACUGGAAACGGUGGCUAAUACCGGAUGUGCCGAGAGGUAAAAGUGAAAUUGCCUGAAGAGGAGCUCGGGUCUGGUUAGCUCGUUGGGGAGGUAAAGUCUCACCAAGGCAGCGAUCAGUAGCUGGUCUGAGCGGACGAACGGCCACACCGGCACUGGGACACGGCCCAGACGCCUAUGGGAGGCAGCGGUGGAGAAUGUUCCGGAAUGGGCGAGUGCCUGACGGAGGAAUACGGCGUGAGGAAAGAAGGCUGUUGGGUUGUAAGCCUCUUUGCUUAGGGAAGAACAAAAUGACGGUACCUAAGGAAGCAGCAUCGGCUAACUCCGUG
Molecule: ribosomal RNA, 435 nt
Filed under: uncultured bacterium
Lineage: Bacteria
Description: partial 16S ribosomal RNA
Rfam family: Bacterial small subunit ribosomal RNA
Source: RNAcentral